This 69-nucleotide transfer RNA is filed under the name Marmota marmota marmota (Alpine marmot). It matches the Rfam family "tRNA". From Rfam's summary of the family: Transfer RNA (tRNA) molecules are approximately 80 nucleotides in length. Their secondary structure includes four short double-helical elements and three loops (D, anti-codon, and T loops). RNAcentral also lists the same sequence under 3 other names. Lineage: Eukaryota; Metazoa; Chordata; Mammalia; Rodentia; Sciuridae. The record is from Rfam by way of RNAcentral.
GGGGUUGUGGCUCAGUGGUAGAGCACUCACCUAGAACAGGUGAGGCACUGGGUUCAAUCCUCAGCACCA